GUCUACGGACAUACCACGCUGAACGUGCCCUAUCUAGUCUGAUCUCGGAAGCUAAGCAGGGUCGGGCCUGGCUAGUACUUGGAUGGGAGACAAAAUAAUCUACUGCUAAUAGAAU
RNAcentral lists this ribosomal RNA (115 nucleotides) under Ochotona princeps (American pika). Lineage: Eukaryota; Metazoa; Chordata; Mammalia; Lagomorpha; Ochotonidae. The record is from RNAcentral.